This 253-nucleotide ribosomal RNA is filed under the name uncultured bacterium. Its description in RNAcentral is "partial 16S ribosomal RNA". It matches the Rfam family "Bacterial small subunit ribosomal RNA", at positions 525 to 776 of the family's 1533-position model. The record is from RNAcentral.
ACGAAGGGGGCUAGCGUUGUUCGGAAUCACUGGGCGUAAAGCGCACGUAGGCGGAUUGUUAAGUCAGGGGUGAAAUCCCGAGGCUCAACCUCGGAACUGCCUCUGAUACUGGCAAUCUUGGAGUCCGGGAGAGGUGAGUGGAAUUCCGAGUGUAGAGGUGAAAUUCGUAGAUAUUCGGAAGAACACCAGUGGCGAAGGCGGCUCACUGGCCCGGUACUGACGCUGAGGUGCGAAAGCGUGGGGAGCAAACAGG